CCUACGGGAGGCAGCAGUGGGGAAUUUUCCGCAAUGGGCGAAAGCCUGACGGAGCAAUACCGCGUGAGGGAAGACGGCCUAUGGGUUGUAAACCUCUUUUUUCAGGGAGGAAUAAAUGACGUGUACCUGAAGAAUAAGCAUCGGCUAACUCCGUGCCAGCAGCCGCGGUAAGACGGAGGAUGCAAGUGUUAUCCGGAAUCACUGGGCGUAAAGCGUCUGUAGGUUGUUAAACAAGUCAACUGUUAAAUCUUGAGGCUCAACUUCAAAAUCGCAGUCGAAACUGUUUGACUAGAGUAUAGUAGGGGUAAAGGGAAUUUCCAGUGGAGCGGUGAAAUGCGUAGAUAUUGGAAAGAACACCGAUGGCGAAGGCACUUUACUGGGCUACUACUGACACUCAGAGACGAAAGCUAGGGUAGCAAAUGGGAUUAGAUACCCCAGUAGUCCUAGCCGUAAACAAUGGAUACUAGAUGUUGAACAGAUCGACCUGUGCAGUAUCAAAGCUAACGCGUUAAGUAUCCCGCCUGGGAAGUAUGCUCGCAAGAGUGAAACUCAAAGGAAUUGACGG
This 565-nucleotide ribosomal RNA is filed under the name uncultured bacterium. RNAcentral's name for it is "bacterial SSU rRNA". It matches the Rfam family "Bacterial small subunit ribosomal RNA", at positions 338 to 916 of the family's 1533-position model. The record is from RNAcentral.